Molecule: ribosomal RNA, 359 nt
Filed under: Gelria sp.
Lineage: Bacteria; Bacillati; Bacillota; Clostridia; Thermoanaerobacterales; Thermoanaerobacteraceae
Description: bacterial SSU rRNA
Rfam family: Bacterial small subunit ribosomal RNA
Source: RNAcentral
CGGAGAGUUUGAUCCUGGCUCAGGACGAACGCUGGCGGCGCGCUUAACACAUGCAAGUCGAACGGACUGAUUUUAAAGCUUGCUUUUAAAUCAGUUAGUGGCGGACGGGUGAGUAACACGUGAAUAACCUGUCCCCAAGCCCGGGAUAACAGCCCGAAAGGGUUGCUAAUACCGGAUGAGCUUAUGACUGCUCCUGCAAUUAUAAGCAAAGGGUUACCGCUUGGGGAGGGAUUUGCGGCCCAUCAGCUAGUUGGUGAGAUAACAGCUCACCAAGGCAACGACGGGUAGCCGGCCUGAGAGGGUGGUCGGCCACACUGGGACUGAGACACGGCCCAGACUCCUACGGGAGGCAGCAGUGG